Lottia gigantea (owl limpet) is the source of this 47-nucleotide non-coding RNA. Lineage: Eukaryota; Metazoa; Mollusca; Gastropoda; Lottiidae. The record is from Rfam.
UAAACAGCCCUUUUCAGGGCCACCAAACUCUCUCAAAAGAGUGAAUG